GGAAUUACAAAUCAGUAAUUGCAGCAUAAUUUGAAGAAUAAAAGACACAACCAAACAACAAUAAAAACGCAUGAACAUAUCUAAAAUUAGCCUAAACUGGUAUAUAUUUGUUUGUAGGAUUCAUAUAGGAAUCAAUAACUAAAUAUCGCUCAUGAACUUUCGUCUGAGAUAGGGUUGUCAAGUCCGCUACGGGUGAAUUAAUGGUCUCAUGAAUGUGUGACUAAUAAUUUCGAAGGCUCGACAUUUUUCACCAGGAUUUGACCGAUUACAGCAAAGUUUAUGUUCCGGUGAAAAGCGGAAACAGUCUCAAAGAAGGGGUUGGCGCUUCAAUACCGGUUAGGUUCAAACAAUUUCGUAAUUCGCUUGAGUCUCGUCGGAAUUGAAACCAGAAUGGCUGGUGAUUUCAGUGCAAUUUAACCAAACAAAAUCCUUAACCAAGAACUUGAAUGACUUCCAAAACCAAACUGGCAUUGCAAUGUGAUGUCUACUCUUGUGAGAUCAUAUGACUACUGUUCAGAUACAUAUGCCAAAGUAUCGAAAAAAUCUUUUUGAGUUAGACAUGAGUUGAAAGAAACUAACAUAGGUUGUUGAGAUGAGGUUUCUCAACCAUGUUGCUUUCACGGUGGCAGGACGCAUCCUCAAAAAUAUAAGAGGU
This 655-nucleotide long non-coding RNA is filed under the name Hordeum vulgare. RNAcentral describes it as "long non-coding RNA (HVUL_LNC001894)". Lineage: Eukaryota; Viridiplantae; Streptophyta; Magnoliopsida; Poales; Poaceae. The record is from RNAcentral.